RNAcentral lists this ribosomal RNA (431 nucleotides) under Myroides sp. RNAcentral's name for it is "bacterial SSU rRNA". It matches the Rfam family "Bacterial small subunit ribosomal RNA", at positions 1009 to 1446 of the family's 1533-position model. The record is from RNAcentral. Lineage: Bacteria; Pseudomonadati; Bacteroidota; Flavobacteriia; Flavobacteriales; Flavobacteriaceae.
CAGAUUUUUCUUCGGACAAUUUACAAGGUGCUGCAUGGUUGUCGUCAGCUCGUGCCGUGAGGUGUCAGGUUAAGUCCUAUAACGAGCGCAACCCCUAUUGUUAGUUACCAGCGCGUAGUGGCGGGGACUCUAGCAAGACUGCCGGUGCAAACCGUGAGGAAGGUGGGGAUGACGUCAAAUCAUCACGGCCCUUACGUCCUGGGCUACACACGUGCUACAAUGGCAAGUACAGAAAGCAGCUACCUGGCAACAGGAUGCGAAUCUCCAAAGCUUGUCUCAGUUCGGAUUGGAGUCUGCAACUCGACUCUAUGAAGCUGGAAUCGCUAGUAAUCGGAUAUCAGCCAUGAUCCGGUGAAUACGUUCCCGGGCCUUGUACACACCGCCCGUCAAGCCAUGGAAGCUGGGGGUACCUGAAGUCGGUGACCGCAAGG